GCAGUAGCCGCGGGAAUACAGAGGGUGCGAGCGUUAAUCGGAUUUACUGGGCGUAAAGCGUGCGUAGGCGGCUUUUUAAGUCGGAUGUGAAAUCCCUGAGCUUAACUUAGGAAUUGCAUUCGAUACUGGGAAGCUAGAGUAUGGGAGAGGAUGGUAGAAUUCCAGGUGUAGCGGUGAAAUGCGUAGAGAUCUGGAGGAAUACCGAUGGCGAAGGCAGCCAUCUGGCCUAAUACUGACGCUGAGGUACGAAAGCAUGGGGAGCAAACAGGAUUAGAUACCCCUGUAGUCCCUGUCUCUUAUAC
Molecule: ribosomal RNA, 302 nt
Filed under: uncultured bacterium
Lineage: Bacteria
Description: partial 16S ribosomal RNA
Rfam family: Bacterial small subunit ribosomal RNA
Source: RNAcentral